RNAcentral lists this ribosomal RNA (376 nucleotides) under uncultured eukaryote. RNAcentral describes it as "partial 18S ribosomal RNA". It matches the Rfam family "Eukaryotic small subunit ribosomal RNA", at positions 592 to 976 of the family's 1831-position model. The record is from RNAcentral.
CAAGAGCGUAUAUUAAAGUUGCUGCGGUUAAAAAGCUCGUAGUUGGAUUUCAGUCUAGGAAGGUUAACUCGCCGAAAGGUUGUACGUUGAUUUUCCUCAGACUUCGUCAGAAGCUCGUGCUGCACUUAACUGUGUGGUACGAUGUUCUGACCUUUUACCUCGAGGAAAGUAGAGUGUUUCAGGCAGGCUACCCAGCUUGAAUACAUUAGCAUGGAAUAAUGAAAUGGAUCUCGGUUCGAUUUCGUUGGUUCUAGAGCUGAGGUGAUGAUCAAUAGGAACAGGCGAAGGUAUUCGUACUUGAGAGUGAGGAGUGAAAUCCGAUGAUCUCUUAAAGACGAUCCGAGGCGAAAGCAUUUGUCAAGGAUGUUUUCAUUGA